Molecule: non-coding RNA, 688 nt
Filed under: Pongo abelii (Sumatran orangutan)
Lineage: Eukaryota; Metazoa; Chordata; Mammalia; Primates; Hominidae
Source: RNAcentral
GACCCGUUCCCUCCUGGUCGUUUCCGUAGUAACCUCUUAUCGUAGCGGGCAGCUGUGAGUAGCGCUCACAUCCGCCGCUGCCCUGUCGAAUUGGGGAAAGAGUUCUUGUGUUCUGAGGAGGGUUUGGCUAUGGUCCUUGACCCUAUUCUCCCUGCCUCAGACUUGCCUCCCAGGUAGCGAAGUCUCCCUGUGGGUUUCAUAUGGCUUGGUCCUUUAGGAGCUGGAAAAAUUAGGUAUAAAGUCCCCCCACCCCCUUGACAGAACGCCUCUUCUGACUCCAGAGGUCCUUUAUCAAGUGCCAGGCACUGGUCUAGGGGCAUUUGAAAAAGAUUCACUGAAGGACAUUUCUUAAGGGUUCGCUUUCUCAGAGGGCAGCUUCUCAAACUCAUUCGCUGGUUUCUUUUCCUCUUUUUGCCUGUUUAAGGAAUAUAAGAGGAUUGUAUGCCCUGGCCUCCCUGUGAUGGGGUUGAACUACAUGACAUGUUCUCCAAAUUAAUUGUGAGCAUAGCAUUUAAUUGUUGAUGCAAGACCUUCCAGAACUCUUUUUCUCUUUGCCAUGGCAAUCAUCAGUGUUCCAGAGAGCAUAUGCACUAUCAGUCUUGGUAUUGGAGGGAAGAUGAUGCAGAACAGAGUCCCAGUCACAUCAUGAAGGACAUGUAAAGUGAAAAGUAAACCUUGGUUGUUUUAA